CCCGCUGAACUUAAGCAUAUUAAUAAGCGGGGAAAAAGAAACUAACAAGGAUUCCCCUAGUAACGGCGAGUCAAGCGGGAAGAGCUCAAGCUUAAAAUCUCCGUGCAAGUUUUGCGCGGCGAAUUGUAGUCUAUAGAGGCGUGAUCAGUGUGGGCGCUUGGGGCAAGUUCCUUGGAAAAGGACAGCAUGGAGGAUAAUACUCCCGUUCAUCCCUGAGUUGCUCGUGCGUACGAUCCGUUUUCUUUGAGUCGCGUUGUUUGGGAAUGCAGCGCAAAGUAGGUGGUAAAUUCCAUCUAAAGCUAAAUAUUGGUGCGAGAUCGAUAGCGAACCAGUACCGUGAGGGAAAGAUGAAAAGAACUUUGAAAAGAGAGUUAAAGAGUACCUGAAACUGCUGAAAGGGAACCGAAUCGUUUCCAGUGUCUAUAAUCCGUGGUAUAUUUCAUUGGCGAGUGUGUGCAUGCGUGUACUGUGGCAGCGGCUUUUUUUGGCUGCGCUCGGCGUGUGUGCUGUGUAUGCUUGCUGGUGCCCUGUGCUACGGUGGGACGUCAAGGUCAGCUCGUAUGCUGCGGGAAAUGGCCGCCGAGGAGGUAGGGCUUACGCUUGCGUUUGUCUGUUAUAUCUUGGUGGACGAGUAGUCGCGGUUGGGACUGAGGUGCCUACAACGUGUUUUUAAGUGGCCCUGUGUCUCUGUGUGCGCCGUGUGCGGAUAGCUUGCUAUGCGUGUGUGGUUGUGUGUGGAUUGAUGUGGGUUUUAACUUGUUGCCGUUCGGGACGUUGACGAAAUGGAGCGAUUUGACCCGUCUUGACACACGG
Molecule: non-coding RNA, 813 nt
Filed under: Phytophthora infestans (potato late blight agent)
Lineage: Eukaryota; Oomycota; Peronosporomycetes; Peronosporales; Peronosporaceae
Also listed under: 1 other name
Description: Eukaryotic large subunit ribosomal RNA
Rfam family: Eukaryotic large subunit ribosomal RNA
Source: Rfam by way of RNAcentral